UGGUAGUUCAGUGGUAGAAUUCUCAUCUUUCAUGGGGGAGACCCAGGUUCGAUUCCUGGCCA
This 62-nucleotide transfer RNA is filed under the name Loxodonta africana (African savanna elephant). It matches the Rfam family "tRNA", at positions 5 to 66 of the family's 71-position model. Rfam says of the family: Transfer RNA (tRNA) molecules are approximately 80 nucleotides in length. Their secondary structure includes four short double-helical elements and three loops (D, anti-codon, and T loops). The record is from Rfam by way of RNAcentral. Lineage: Eukaryota; Metazoa; Chordata; Mammalia; Proboscidea; Elephantidae.